GAUAAACGCUGGCGGCGUGCCUAAUACAUGCAAGUCGAGCGAACGGACGAGAAGCUUGCUUCUCUGAUGUUAGCGGCGGACGGGUGAGUAACACGUGGAUAACCUACCUAUAAGACUGGGAUAGCUUCGGGAAACCGGAGCUAAUACCGGAUAAUAUUUUGAACCGCAUGGUUCAAAAGUGAAAGACGGUCUUGCUGUCACUUAUAGAUGGAUCCGCGCUGCAUUAGCUAGUUGGUAAGGUAACGGCUUACCAAGGCAACGAUGCAUAGCCGACCUGAGAGGGUGAUCGGCCACACUGGAACUGAGACACGGUCCAGACUCCUACGGGAGGCAGCAGUAGGGAAUCUUCCGCAAUGGGCGAAAGCCUGACGGAGCAACGCCGCGUGAGUGAUGAAGGUCUUCGGAUCGUAAAACUCUGUUAUUAGGGAAGAACAUAUGUGUAAGUAACUGUGCACAUCUUGACGGUACCUAAUCAGAAAGCCACGGCUAACUACGUGCCAGCAGCCGCGGUAAUACGUAGGUGGCAAGCGUUAUCCGGAAUUAUUGGGCGUAAAGCGCGCGUAGGCGGUUUUUUAAGUCUGAUGUGAAAGCCCACGGCUCAACCGUGGAGGGUCAUUGGAAACUGGAAAACUUGAGUGCAGAAGAGGAAAGUGGAAUUCCAUGCGUAGCGGUGAAAUGCGCAGAGAUAUGGAGGAACACCAGUGGCGAAGGCGACUUUCUGGUCUGUAACUGACGCUGAUGUGCGAAAGCGUGGGGAUCAAACAGGAUUAGAUACCCUGGUAGUCCACGCCGUAAACGAUGAGUGCUAAGUGUUAGGGGGUUUCCGCCCCUUAGUGCUGCAGCUAACGCAUUAAGCACUCCGCCUGGGGAGUACGACCGCAAGGUUGAAACUCAAAGGAAUUGACGGGGACCCGCACAAGCGGUGGAGCAUGUGGUUUAAUUCGAAGCAACGCGAAGAACCUUACCAAAUCUUGACAUCCUUUGACAACUCUAGAGAUAGAGCCUUCCCCUUCGGGGGACAAAGUGACAGGUGGUGCAUGGUUGUCGUCAGCUCGUGUCGUGAGAUGUUGGGUUAAGUCCCGCAACGAGCGCAACCCUUAAGCUUAGUUGCCAUCAUUAAGUUGGGCACUCUAAGUUGACUGCCGGUGACAAACCGGAGGAAGGUGGGGAUGACGUCAAAUCAUCAUGCCCCUUAUGAUUUGGGCUACACACGUGCUACAAUGGACAAUACAAAGGGCAGCGAAACCGCGAGGUCAAGCAAAUCCCAUAAAGUUGUUCUCAGUUCGGAUUGUAGUCUGCAACUCGACUACAUGAAGCUGGAAUCGCUAGUAAUCGUAGAUCAGCAUGCUACGGUGAAUACGUUCCCGGGUCU
RNAcentral lists this ribosomal RNA (1372 nucleotides) under uncultured bacterium. Its description in RNAcentral is "bacterial SSU rRNA". It matches the Rfam family "Bacterial small subunit ribosomal RNA", at positions 28 to 1381 of the family's 1533-position model. The record is from RNAcentral.